UAGAGGAUGGGGGUGCAAGGCUAUUCUUUGGGUCCUCUGGCGUGUUCAUAUUUAUCCUUGGCUGCAUUAAGAAGAUCAAAGAGUUUGAGCGUUGAAAAACUCUACAGGAGAUGAUUCUUCCCUCUUUCUCCUCUUUGAUGAAGCUUCAAGUUCUGCAGGGACUGCACUUCUCGGACUCUCGGCCAAGGCUUUGUGAAAAGAAACCAUCACUUCCACUCAAGAAUUGCAAGACGUGAUGAAAUAGCCUGCAAAAUAUAAAAG
Long non-coding RNA from Neltuma alba, 261 nucleotides. RefSeq lists it as uncharacterized. The transcript has 3 exons. The record is from RefSeq and is a predicted model, not a curated record. NCBI's taxonomy places the organism in Eukaryota, Viridiplantae, Streptophyta, Magnoliopsida, Fabales, Fabaceae.